UGCCAGCCGCCGCGGUAAUACGGAGGGUGCGAGCGUUAAUCGGAAUUACUGGGCGUAAAGCGCGCGUAGGCGGUUUAUUAAGUGGGAUGUGAAAGCCCCGGGCUCAACCUGGGAACUGCAUUCCAAACUGAUGAACUAGAGUACGAGAGAGGGGGGUAGAAUUCAGAGUGUAGCGGUGAAAUGCGUAGAUAUGUGGAGGAAUACCGGUGGCGAAGGCGACCUCCUGGCUCGAUACUGACGCUGAGGUGCGAAAGCGUGGGGAGCAAACAGGAUUAGAUA
Molecule: ribosomal RNA, 279 nt
Filed under: uncultured bacterium
Lineage: Bacteria
Description: partial 16S ribosomal RNA
Rfam family: Bacterial small subunit ribosomal RNA
Source: RNAcentral